RNAcentral lists this ribosomal RNA (209 nucleotides) under uncultured bacterium. RNAcentral's name for it is "partial 16S ribosomal RNA". It matches the Rfam family "Bacterial small subunit ribosomal RNA", at positions 30 to 240 of the family's 1533-position model. The record is from RNAcentral.
AUUGAACGCUGGCGGAAUGCUUAACACAUGCAAGUCGAGCGGGCUGUAGCAAUACAGCUAGCGGCGGACGGGUGAGGAAUACAUAGGAAUCUGCCUCAGAGUGGGGAGUAGCCGGGAACCCGGGACUAAUACCGCAUGAUGUCGUAAGAACCAAACGACGAGGGGACCGGUAAGGCCGUUCGUCGCUUUGUAGAUGAGCCUAUGUCGGA